GGCUCAGGACGAACGCUGGCGGCGUGCCUAACACAUGCAAGUCGAACGAGAAUCUUAGGACGGAUUCCUUCGGGGGAGAAGACUUAAGAGGAAAGUGGCGGACGGGCGAGUAACGCGUGAAUAACCUGCCCAUAAGAGGGGGGAUAACACAGAGAAAUUUGUGCUAAUACCGCAUAAUGCAGCGUGGUCGCAUGACCGUGCUGCCAAAGAUUUUAUCGCUGGAAGAUGGCCUCGCGUCUGAUUAGAUAGUUGGUGAGGUAACGGCCCACCAAGUCUGCGAUCAGUAGCCGGACUGAGAGGUUGAACGGCCACAUUGGGACUGAGACACGGCCCAGACUCCUACGGGAGGCAGCAGUGGGGAAUAUUGCGCAAUGGGGGCAAUCCUGACGCAGCAACGCCGCGUGAAGGAAGAAGGUCUUCGGAUUGUAAACUUUUGUCUUAUGGGAAGAUAAUGACGGUACCAUAGGAGGAAGCUCCGGCUAACUACGUG
RNAcentral lists this ribosomal RNA (490 nucleotides) under uncultured bacterium. Its description in RNAcentral is "bacterial SSU rRNA". It matches the Rfam family "Bacterial small subunit ribosomal RNA", at positions 21 to 507 of the family's 1533-position model. The record is from RNAcentral.